Molecule: non-coding RNA, 908 nt
Organism: Parasteatoda tepidariorum (common house spider)
Lineage: Eukaryota; Metazoa; Arthropoda; Arachnida; Araneae; Theridiidae
Source: RefSeq, a predicted model, not a curated record
CGUUAUCAAAAUUAUUUUAAUAUUAAUGCUUUUUUUGUAUAAAAAACUUUUUAUCGACAUUUAACUGUUUAGUUAGCAUAUAAUAGUAUAAGCAACUAGAUUCAACUGCAAAGUGUAGAUAUAAUCUAAAGGCACACACUGUAUGGUCAUUUAACAUUAAUUUUGCGUAUAACUGAUAACUUUAAUAGUUAUAGUUGAUUUUAAAGGCAAGAAAAAAUGCAUAACUAAUAACAUUAAGAUUAAAAUUUCCUUAUAUUGUAUCUACGAGAAUAUUUUUGUUUCUGACUGGUCUCAGCCAAUUACAGGUGGUUUUCCGUUUAGACUUAACUCUCUAAGUUAGACAGAGGGUCAUAGAGUUCUCAGUAAUUUUAAACUGCAUUUUGGAACUAUGAAUUCGUUUAAAAAAUCAGUACAUGAUUAGUCGUCUCAGAGCGGAAAAAAGCGGGAAAACGUUUGUGUAAAGGAAAAACAAAUCUGGAGAUGAUUCUAAAAAAUUGCAGUGGAGAUUAAAAACCAAUUUUAGUUUUCAAUAUUCUUUUCAAUAUUCUUAUUAAAAAUUUUUGUGAAGAAACAAACGUAAUUUAUUUAAAUAAAUUUCUAGAAAAAUUGGUAAAUUCGGCAAAUUUAAGCUUCUAAGGGAAUUUUUUUCUUUUCUGUUUUUAAAGCGUAAGAAAUUGGUUAAUGAAUACUCUCUGUGUUACCUAAUUUGAUUAAGUUAACAAUUACUAAAAAUGAACUGUUUUAGGAAGCAAUUUAAACUAGUAUCUUACAUGUGUAGUUAUGUUUCAAAAUGACGUUACUUAAUUACUGUCUAAAACUUUAUAAUUUCAGUAGCUAUUCCUGUUCAUCACACACUAAGGUUUUUGCAGGGCGAGAAUUUCGUAAUAUAAAAAGAAAAUUAAUUUAUA